CCUACGGGAGGCAGCAGUGAGGAAUAUUGGUCAAUGGACGAGAGUCUGAACCAGCCAAGUAGCGUGAAGGAUGACUGCCCUAUGGGUUGUAAACUUCUUUUAUAUGGGAAUAAAAUGUUCCACGUGUGGGAUUUUGUAUGUACCAUAUGAAUAAGGAUCGGCUAACUCCGUGCCAGCAGCCGCGGUAAUACGGAGAAUCCGAGCGUUAUCCGGAUUUAUUGGGUUUAAAGGGUGCGUAGGCGGGGAGGUAAGUCAGCGGUGAAAUGCCUCCGAUCAACGGGGUGAAGUGCCGUUGAGACUGGCUGUCUGGAAUGCGGAUGACGUGGGAGGAAUGGGUGGUGUAGCGGUGAAAUGCAUAGAUAUCACGAAGAACUCCGAUUGCGAAGGCAGCUCACGAGCCCGCGACUGACGCUGAGGCACGAAAGCGUGGGUAUCAAACAGGAUUAGAUACCCCUGUAGUC
This 461-nucleotide ribosomal RNA is filed under the name uncultured bacterium. RNAcentral's name for it is "partial 16S ribosomal RNA". It matches the Rfam family "Bacterial small subunit ribosomal RNA", at positions 338 to 795 of the family's 1533-position model. The record is from RNAcentral.